GAUGAACGCUGGCGGCGUGCCUAAUACAUGCAAGUCGAACGCAUAGCGAAAGGUGCUUGCACCUUUCAAGUGAGUGGCGAACGGGUGAGUAACACGUGGACAACCUGCCUCAAGGCUGGGGAUAACAUUUGGAAACAGAUGCUAAUACCGAAUAAAACUUAGUGUCGCAUGACACAAAGUUAAAAGGCGCUUCGGCGUCACCUAGAGAUGGAUCCGCGGUGCAUUAGUUAGUUGGUGGGGUAAAGGCCUACCAAGACAAUGAUGCAUAGCCGAGUUGAGAGACUGGUCGGCCACAUUGGGACUGAGACACGGCCCCAACUCCUGCGGGAGGCUGCAGUAGGGAAUCUUCCACAAUGGGCGAAAGCCUGAUGGAGCAACGCCGCGUGUGUGAUGAAGGCGUUCGGGUCGUAAAGCACUGUUGUAUGGGAAGAACAGCUAGAAUAGGAAAUGAUUUUAGUUUGACGGUACCAGACCAGAAAGGGACGGCUAAAUACGUG
RNAcentral lists this ribosomal RNA (497 nucleotides) under uncultured bacterium. Its description in RNAcentral is "partial 16S ribosomal RNA". It matches the Rfam family "Bacterial small subunit ribosomal RNA", at positions 28 to 507 of the family's 1533-position model. The record is from RNAcentral.